RNAcentral lists this ribosomal RNA (497 nucleotides) under uncultured bacterium. RNAcentral's name for it is "partial 16S ribosomal RNA". It matches the Rfam family "Bacterial small subunit ribosomal RNA", at positions 28 to 507 of the family's 1533-position model. The record is from RNAcentral.
GAUGAACGCUGGCGGCGUGCCUAAUACAUGCAAGUCGAGCGAACGGACGAGAAGCUUGCUUCUCUGAUGUUAGCGGCAGACGGGUGAGUAACACGUGGAUAACCUACCUAUAAGACUGGGAUAACUUCGGGAAACCGGAGCUAAUACCGGAUGAUAUUUUGAACCGCAUGGUUCAAAAGUGAAAGACGGUCUUGCUGUCACUUAUAGAUGGAUCCGCGCUGCAUUAGCUAGUUGGUAAGGUAACGGCUUACCAAGGCAACGAUGCAUAGCCGACCUGAGAGGGUGAUCGGCCACACUGGAACUGAGACACGGUCCAGACUACUACGGGAGGCAGCAGUAGGGAAUCUUCCGCAAUGGGCGAAAGCCUGACGGAGCAACGCCGCGUGAGUGAUGAAGGUCUUCGGAUCGUAAAACUCUGUUAUUAGGGAAGAACAUAUGUGUAAGUAACUGUGCACAUCUUGACGGUACCUAAUCAGAAAGCCACGGCUAACUACGUG